UGUCUUCCCCGAAAGAGGAGAUCUGGUGAUUUUUCUCAGAGAAGGGGGUUUUCUCAGGGAAAGACUCAUCUGUUUCACUCUGGAUGCGCUCACCUCUGCCAUUUCUCCAAAUGCAGGAGGCUGGGCUGUGCAAUUUGUGAUAGAGGGGCCCCACGUUCACGGUUUCCUCUG
Molecule: small nuclear RNA, 171 nt
Organism: Tachyglossus aculeatus (Australian echidna)
Lineage: Eukaryota; Metazoa; Chordata; Mammalia; Monotremata; Tachyglossidae
Product: U1 spliceosomal RNA
Exons: 1
Source: RefSeq, a predicted model, not a curated record